UGCAGUCGACGCUUCUUUUUCCACCGGAGCUUGCUCCACCGGAAAAGAGGAGUGGCGAACGGGUGAGUAACACGUGGGUAACCUGCCCAUCAGAAGGGGAUAACACUUGGAAACAGGUGCUAAUACCGUAUAACAAUCAAAACCGCAUGGUUUUGAUUUGAAAGGCGCUUUCGGGUGUCGCUGAUGGAUGGACCCGCGGUGCAUUAGCUAGUUGGUGAGGUAACGGCUCACCAAGGCCACGAUGCAUAGCCGACCUGAGAGGGUGAUCGGCCACAUUGGGACUGAGACACGGCCCAAACUCCUACGGGAGGCAGCAGUAGGGAAUCUUCGGCAAUGGACGAAAGUCUGACCGAGCAACGCCGCGUGAGUGAAGAAGGUUUUCGGAUCGUAAAACUCUGUUGUUAGAGAAGAACAAGGAUGAGAGUAACUGUUCAUCCCUUGACGGUAUCUAACCAGAGAGCCACGGCUAACUACGUGCCAGCAGCCGCGGUAAUACGUAGGUGGCAAGCGUUGUCCGGAUUUAUUGGGCGUAAAGCGAGCGCAGGCGGUUUCUUAAGUCUGAUGUGAAAGCCCCCGGCUCAACCGGGGAGGGUCAUUGGAAACUGGGAGACUUGAGUGCAGAAGAGGAGAGUGGAAUUCCAUGUGUAGCGGUGAAAUGCGUAGAUAUAUGGAGGAACACCAGUGGCGAAGGCGGCUCUCUGGUCUGUAACUGACGCUGAGGCUCGAAAGCGUGCGGAGCAAACAGGAUUAGAUACCCUGGUAGUCCACGCCGUAGACGAUGAGUGCUAAGUGUUGGAAGGUUUCCGCCCUUCAGUGCUGCAGCUAACGCAUUAAUCACUCCGGCCGGGGGAGUACGACCGCAUGGUGGAAACUCAAAGGAAUUGACGGGGGGCCCGCCCAACCGAUGGAGCAUGUGGUUUAAUUCAAACCAACGCCAACAAACCUUACCGGGUCUUGACAUCCCUUUGGCCCCUCUUAAAAUAAAAGCUUCCGCCUUCGGGGGCAAAAGUG
This 1011-nucleotide ribosomal RNA is filed under the name Enterococcus faecium. RNAcentral's name for it is "bacterial SSU rRNA". It matches the Rfam family "Bacterial small subunit ribosomal RNA", at positions 56 to 1033 of the family's 1533-position model. The record is from RNAcentral. Lineage: Bacteria; Bacillati; Bacillota; Bacilli; Lactobacillales; Enterococcaceae.